UUUCCGUAGGGUGAGUAAAUCUAUUUAUCUCAACUUGCUUUAACACCAUACUAACGUUUUACAGUGACCCUGCGGAAGGAUCAUUAAAGAGUUAGGGUCUUUUGGCCCGAUCUCCCACCCUUUGUUGUCAAAAAGCUUGUUGCCUCGGCGUGUAGAUCAAUCAUCCCACGCCAGAGGAUCAGUUUAAACCCUUUUGAAACCGUCAGUCAGAGUUGAUUAUCACAAUAAAUCAAAACUUUCAACAACGGAUCUCUUGGUUCUGGCAUCGAUGAAGAACGCAGC
This 282-nucleotide unclassified non-coding RNA is filed under the name uncultured fungus. RNAcentral describes it as "sequence contains ITS1, 5.8S rRNA gene". The stretch from base 234 to 282 matches the Rfam family "5.8S ribosomal RNA", at positions 1 to 49 of the family's 154-position model. Lineage: Eukaryota; Fungi. The record is from RNAcentral.